AGUGAACGCUGGCGGUAGGCCUAACACAUGCCAGUCGAACGGCAGCACAGUAAGAGCUUGCUCUUACGGGUGGCGAGUGGCGGACGGGUGAGGAAUACAUCGGAAUCUACUUUUUCGUGGGGGAUAACGUAGGGAAACUUACGCUAAUACCGCAUACGACCUACGGGUGAAAGCAGGGGAUCUUCGGACCUUGCGCGAUUGAAUGAGCCGAUGUCGGAUUAGCUAGUUGGCGGGGGAAAGGCCCACAAGGCGACGAUCCGUAGCUGGUCUGAGAGGAUGAGCAGCCACGCGGGAACUGAGACACGGUCCAGACUCGUACGGGAGGAAGCGGUGGGAAAUAGUGGACAAGGGGGGAAAGCCUGAUCCACCCUUACCGGGUGGGUGAAGAAGCCCUGCGGUUUGUAAAGCCCUUUUGUUGGGAAAGAAAAGCAGCAGGUUAAUACCCCGCUGUUCUGACGGUACCCAAGGAAUAAGCACCGGCGAACUUC
RNAcentral lists this ribosomal RNA (488 nucleotides) under uncultured bacterium. RNAcentral's name for it is "partial 16S ribosomal RNA". It matches the Rfam family "Bacterial small subunit ribosomal RNA", at positions 29 to 504 of the family's 1533-position model. The record is from RNAcentral.